Molecule: ribosomal RNA, 382 nt
Filed under: uncultured eukaryote
Lineage: Eukaryota
Description: partial 18S ribosomal RNA
Rfam family: Eukaryotic small subunit ribosomal RNA
Source: RNAcentral
CAAUAGCGUAUAUUAAAGUUGUUGCAGUUAAAAAGCUCGUAGUUGGAUUUCUGGAUGGAGCGACCGGUCGGGCAUUAAUUUGUCUGCACUGGAGUCGGUUCCGUCCAUCCUCUUGGAAAGUGCGUCGGGCAUUAAGUUGUUUGGCGUAUGAUCCAAGUCGUUUACUGUGAAAAAAUUAGAGUGCUUAAAGCAGGCCUUCGCCUUGAAUACAUUAGCAUGGAAUAAUAAGAUAGGACUUUGGUCUAUUUUGUUGGUCUGCAGACCGAAGUAAUGAUUAAUAGGGAUAGUUGGGGGUAUUUAUAUUCCGAUGUCAGAGGUGAAAUUCUUAGAUUUUCGGAAGAUAAACUUAUGCGAAAGCAUUUACCAAGGAUGUUUUCAUUAA